CCACCUCGGCCUCCCAAAGGACUGGGAUUACAGGUACGAGUCACUGCGCCCAGGCUUUUCUCCCUUUUGACUCAUUUUGAGGCCCCCGUCGUAGGGUACACGCCCUGGGAAUCGGGGGUCUUCCAGUAUAGGGAACCACCGAGAUGCGGGCCCUCCGAAGUCCUAGAGAGGGCGCCUCGGCCGCCGGCACCCGCCACACUUCCGGCCUUUGUGGGCCGCAGCGACGGCGGUCUGCGGCUGUCGGUUCUGUUUGUUGCUGUCACUGCUGUUUGUUCUUGCCAGCGGCUAGGUGUGUAGUUGCUUGGGGCUCCUAGCACGAGGCCUCUGUCCCCAGGCACGCAGCGCCAGUCUCCGGCUGUUGCGCCCUGGGCGCCGCCUCUCUCCGGCCCCCCUUUGUUUCCUGAGCCAGCUGGGAAGACUAAAAGGGGUCUGGCUGUUUUGCCCAGAAUGGAGUGCAGUGGCGUGAUGGUCUCGGCUGACAGCAGCCUCGACCUCCUGGGCUCAAGCCUUGGCCUCCCAAAGUGCUGGGAUUACAGCCACCAUCCUGUGAGGAAGCCCAGAGCACAUGAAGAGACCACCUGCACAUGUUCAGAUCCACUGCCCCAGCUAAGAUCUCCGCUGACAGCCAGACCAAUCACCAAUCUUAGGAGCUGGCGAGCCUUCAGAUGGUCCAACCUUUGAGGCCCCCCAGAGGAGCCAGGUGGAGCAUAGAUGAGCCAUCCAUGUGGAUCCCUCCACCAAAUGGAAGAUUUAGGAGCAAAAUAAACAAUGUUGUCAUUGCUUUC
RNAcentral lists this long non-coding RNA (785 nucleotides) under Homo sapiens (human). RNAcentral's name for it is "HSALNT0342263". Lineage: Eukaryota; Metazoa; Chordata; Mammalia; Primates; Hominidae. The record is from RNAcentral.